RNAcentral lists this transfer RNA (52 nucleotides) under Eimeria falciformis. RNAcentral describes it as "partial tRNA-Glu". Lineage: Eukaryota; Apicomplexa; Conoidasida; Eucoccidiorida; Eimeriidae. The record is from RNAcentral.
GCCCUUAUCGUCUAGUGGUCUAGGACAUCUUUUUUUCAGGAAGGAAACGAGG